RNAcentral lists this ribosomal RNA (1326 nucleotides) under Lachnospiraceae bacterium A10. Its description in RNAcentral is "bacterial LSU rRNA". It matches the Rfam family "Bacterial large subunit ribosomal RNA", at positions 1581 to 2925 of the family's 2925-position model. Lineage: Bacteria; Bacillati; Bacillota; Clostridia; Lachnospirales; Lachnospiraceae. The record is from RNAcentral.
AGUAACGAAGUGUGUGAGCCAGCUGCCGAGAAAAGCCGCUAUUGUGUAAUAUAAGCCCGUACCGUAAACCGACACAGGUGGAUGAGGAGAGAAUCCUAAGGCCGACGGAAGAAGCAUUGUUAAGGAAUUCGGCAAAAUGACCCCGUAACUUCGGGAGAAGGGGUGCCUACGAAUGUAGGCCGCAGAGAAUAGGCUCAAGCAACUGUUUAGCAAAAACACAGGUCUAUGCGAAACCGUAAGGUGAAGUAUAUGGGCUGACGCCUGCCCGGUGCUGGAAGGUUAAGAGGAGAGGUUAGCGUAAGCGAAGCUUUGAAUUCAAGCCCCAGUAAACGGCGGCCGUAACUAUAACGGUCCUAAGGUAGCGAAAUUCCUUGUCGGGUAAGUUCCGACCCGCACGAAAGGCGUAAUGAUUUGAGCACUGUCUCGACAAUGCAUCCGGUGAAAUUGAAGUACCAGUGAAGAUGCUGGUUACCCGCGCCAGGACGGAAAGACCCCAUGGAGCUUUACUCCAGUUUGGUACUGGGAUUCGGUACUGCAUGUACAGGAUAGGUGGGAGACUAAGAGAUAGGAACGCCAGUUUCUAUGGAGUCACUGUUGGGAUACCACCCUUGUAGUACUGGGUUUCUAACCUGCAGCCGUUAUCCGGCUGGGGGACAAUGCCAGGCGGGGAGUUUGACUGGGGCGGUCGCCUCCGAAAGGGUAUCGGAGGCGCUCAAAGGUUCCCUCAGAAUGGUUGGAAACCAUUUGAAGAGUGCAAAGGCAGAAGGGAGCUUGACUGCGACACCGACGGGUGGAGCAGGUACGAAAGUAGGACUUAGUGAUCCGGUGGUAUAAAGUGGGAUUGCCAUCGCUCAACGGAUAAAAGCUACCCUGGGGAUAACAGGCUUAUCACUCCCAAGAGUUCACAUCGACGGAGUGGUUUGGCACCUCGAUGUCGGCUCAUCGCAUCCUGGGGCUGUAGCAGGUCCCAAGGGUUGGGCUGUUCGCCCAUUAAAGCGGUACGCGAGCUGGGUUCAGAACGUCGUGAGACAGUUCGGUCCCUAUCCGGCGCGGGCGGAGGAUAUUUGAGAGGAGCUACCCCUAGUACGAGAGGACCGGGGCGGACGGACCACUGGUGUACCAGCUGUCUACCAAAGGCAUAGCUGGGUAGCCAAGUCCGGAAGGGAUAAACGCUGAAGGCAUCUAAGCGUGAAGCCCCCCUCAAGAUGAGAUAUCCCGUCCUUUAAGGACAUAAGAUCCCUUAUAGAGUAUGAGGUAGAUAGGGCAAAGGUGGAAGCGUAGUAAUACGUGUAGCUGAUUGUUACUAAUCGAUCGAAGGCUUGACCA